UUAAUUCAAAUUUGUAGGGUGUUGAAACGUUUACCUACGUUUACCGCUAGGGGCGUUGUUCCAACUGCAUAAUAAAUUAAGUUA
This 84-nucleotide microRNA precursor is filed under the name Bombyx mori (domestic silkworm). RNAcentral describes it as "mir-2807 microRNA precursor family". It matches the Rfam family "mir-2807 microRNA precursor family". Lineage: Eukaryota; Metazoa; Arthropoda; Insecta; Lepidoptera; Bombycidae. The record is from Rfam by way of RNAcentral.